GGCCAGGGGGUCUGGUUUUAUAGUCCCCUCAAGUGAACCUGGGCCGUCGGAUCAAACCGACAAUGAUUGAACGGUUAUUCUUGAUCCUUUAGGUCGGUGGAGCAUAAUCCGCGAGAUUGAGCGUGAUUGGCCGAAAAAGGUGGGCGGGCGCCCUAAGGACUUGGGCGGGCGCCCUGUCCCUGACUCCGUUCAGUCUCCGCUUCCCUCCCGUGGCUUCUGGAGUCUUCUAGAUGUAAGAUAAUUGCGCGGCACGUUGAUAUCUCUAUGUAAUCCCGACGUGUGGGCCUUUCUUCCUUAUUUCCUCAUAACCCUCUGCAGAAAUAGACAAACACCAAAACUCGUGGAAUUAUGUCAGAUAAAACCCUAAGUCUUGAUGUUGAAUUCAUUUGGAUCCUUUUCUUUGUUUAUUUGAUAGUUAAUUUUGAUACUUAAGGACCGUCAACAAACUCCCCCAAGCUUACCUCUUGCUCGUCCCUGAGUAAGGAUAGACUCAGCUAUGGAUCAUAAGUUGUUGCAAUAUCUUUAAAAAUUGACGGUACACAUGCUUUUAAAUGAGGUCUCAUCUCUGAGUUAGAGUAAACUGUCAAGACUUAAAACUUACUUACUUUACCUUUCACCAUGGGACUUGUAACCGUCACUUCUGUCUUGAGUGGUUAAAAGAUAGAACAGUCUUGUCAAGUGCCAUGUCUCUUAUUCUUGAUCAGCUAUAGCUCUGGAGUUUUUGCAGAUUUUUAAAUAAAACUCAGAGAUUCCUUUGUAUGACUCUCUCAUAUCUCUCUUUUGUGGUAUUUCUGGAUCCUUACCAAGGCAGUGAUGGUAUAUGCCUUCUCUCAAGAUAUGUGGUAUUUGUGGUAUAAGGCAUAGUGACAUUGCCUUCUCUCUCACCCUACUCUAAUAAGGCUUUAAUAUCUGGAGCUCAUAGGUGGGAGAUAAAGUAUACAUACUUACAAGACAUUUAUUGUAUAGUCAAACCAUGGAUCCAAAGAAACAAAUCAAUAAGCCAAAUCAAGAUGUGCAUGUGUGGCGAAUGAAUAGUUUAUGGUGAUGAUGGUGAUAACAAUGGUGAAAGUCUAAUUCUACUUUUGCUCUUUUGAGGGGAUACAUACCUUCCUUGCUUUUUGAAACUUUAUGAGGAGAAUGAGAUGCUCUUCUUUUUUCUUUUCUCUCAGAUGGGUAUCCUGUACCCCUAAUUCUACUGUCGGACACUUGUCCAUUUUUACCUCUUGUCUCACUCUUUUUCUUUUCUUUCGAGGUUCCGGGCACUUGCCCCUUUUUAUUUCCUCGUUUAUUUUUUUUCUUUUUUUUCAGAGCACUCAUCUCUUGAGAUAAUAUAGCAAGUGGUAGUAGCAAGAUAACUUGAGCAUUUAUUUCACAAGGGAAAAACACAGAUGUUUUUGGCUAUUCUCUCCCGAAUUAGGAGUAGAAUAUUUUUAGGUGAUUCUGGAGAUGGAAAUGGAUGGAUAUAUGUGGAUGGUACUUCUGGAGUAGAAGUAGCAUAUAUGAGUGAACGUGCAAGUGAAUCUUGAUUUAACCACAUGACAAGCUCCUAAGGGUCUACACAGCUUGACCACACUCAAUGCUCAUAAGCAGUAAAUAAUAAAUGUGUGGCUCAAAGUCUAGCAAGCAUGUAUAUAUGGCUGUGGUAGGAAUUUAAACUUUCAUCAUACAGGAACUCAUCGUGCAACAUUUUAAAGAUUUUCAAAGAUAAAAUUCUCCAUAAUUCUAGCAUCUCUAGGAAUAGAUAAACAGCAGCUCAACCUUCCCAUAUCAUAUCCGUUAACAACUUAGAUUUCAGAUCAAGUUUUCAUCCCAUAAGUUUAGAUCUAGAGCAAGCUUUAAAUUAUAACAGUUAUGUCUAAACUUGAGAGAGAACAUCAAAUUUGCAAAUUAGGCAGAGCAACUAUUCAUCAUAUCCAUGCUAGAGUUUUAUUAUUAAGAUUCAUAGCAAACUUUAUUUAUUUAUUUAUUUAGCAAACUAAGAAAAGAUAUAUAUAUAUAAGCAUAAAAUCUUUAUUUGGUUUUUCAUAGUUUAUGUAUUUUAAUAUUCUAAUAUAAUAUAAGUAUAAAGAUAGGUAGAAAUACUUAGCGAGAUAAAUAGGGGUGCUCUCCCCCAAGCUGAAUUUUGACGUAAUUUCUCUUGAUGUAGCUAGCAGGUGGCAGAGGUGUAUUUGAAAGUCAGCAGCAUUCUGACAGCGAUUAGAAUGUCCUCCAUCUGCUAGUCUUCUUGAUUCUUAAAUUCUGUGGAGCUCAAAUAGACAACAAAGCUUGUGGAACUAAUUAAGUGUUAGCAUAAAUAUCUAGCCUUCAUCACGUUGAGCUUCCUCAAUAAAUAUUACUCCCUGUUUUAUAUUUUUAUUUUAUAAAGUGGAAAAGAAAUAUUUAUUUUAUUUUUAUGCCACCACAGUGAAGGUACUUAUGGGUUUUAUGCCACUCGUAUACUCACAUGGGGCUUAGUAUUUUUUAAAAUUUUUAUUUUCUUUUCAAGAUAGCAUGAUUAACUAAUAAUCUAUUUAAGGAAAGUAAAUAAUUAAAUGGAAAAGGGAAUGCAGAAAGGAUAAAUAUGGAUAACUACCAAUCUUACCUUUCGGCGAGGGUUCAAUGUUUUAAGUCUUCUUGUCAAGACUUCUCAUCGUGUUCAUUCUUCAGGUGCGUCAUUUGAUUCAGGUGCGGACCUUGACGUCUGCACCUUUUAAUACGGUGUCACCCAUGUUUUUCGUUUGCCCAGCAGUUCGAAGUGCGGUGUUAGCAGUAUCUUGCUCAGUGUGUUUGUGCUACUAGUGUACCUGCUCAUAGAGACAAGACAGAGAUCAAGUGCAUGGGCCCUGUUGGUGGAAAACACCAACAGAACCAAAAGUGUAUUUGUUCUUCUCUAACCUUAAGCAUAGUGAGCAAGACAAAGUUGAUGGAUGAUAAGUUCAUGAGUGUAGCACAUAUAACAUUUGUCAGAUCAGAUCACUCAACCUUAUGAAAAGAUAAUCUAUCUAUGUAUAUGUAUUUUUCUUUAUAUCUCUCAAUGAUUGAAUGUGUAACAUUUUAGCUCAUAUGAUUAGGAGUGUGGGAUCAUGGAGGUAGUACUAAGAACAAGGAUUAAAGGACUAAACAUGUUGAACCAGUUGGGUUGGUUAAUCUAGAGUUGUAAAUCAUACACGUUUGUCUCUUUUAUUUAUAUGAACGCCAGAACCAAAGAGAAGCUUAUAAAAGUGAUAGUCAAGUACCUUAAGAUGUUACCUUGCUCGAAGAGUGAUGGUACAGUAUCAUCUUGUGGAAGCUUUCCUUUCUUAGCGGUUGUGCGUCGUGUUUGUGGCACCCUCCAUGGAUCAUCUUUCUAUGAUGAAUGAGCUUUGUCCUUCUUGUGCAAAUUGUUAAACUUCAUGUGUCACUCUCUUCGUCUCUUAUGUGAGUUUAUCUCAGGACUUCGCAAAUCGAUAUUGGAAGUUUUUCUGCAGGGGUUAGUCUGACAAAAUAUACCAAUAUCUACUCAAGCAGUUUUUUUAGUUCAAUAACCAAACUAGACUCCAUGUCUAAUCAGAUUAAGGAAGGCUAUUUAACCUAAGCACCAUGCUUAAUUUAAAUGCCAAUGGAAGUAUGGUGAGUACUUCCAAACCAACACUUGCUAGUAAAUAGACAAAGGUAGCAUGACAGCGUUUAUAGAGAUCUACUCAAGUGGAGAUGAAGUAGUGUGAUUAGUAUUUAAUAAAUGGAGCAUGUCUCAAAGGUAGGGACAACCAGCAUAGCAACAUGGCAAAGGAUGUUUUUAUGUAAAGUACUCCCCCAAGCUUGAAUUUUGCAAAAUUCAAGUUUGGAUGAAUUUAAUUCAAUGUUGUAUGAUGAUUGGUUGGACAUACCUUGUGCUUGUCAUUCAUCCGAUCUUCUUGCUCCAAUCUUAGAAAGGUUAGUGACAAGAAUACACGAAGGAAUAUUUUUUUUUUACAAUUAUCCUUAUAUGCUCAAUACACAAGGUAAUGUUGCAAAUAAUUAAAGGCUCAUGUUACGAUCUGAUCAAUGCUUAUUUUAAGACACUAAGCUUGUCCUUGGGAAACCAUCAGUUUAUGUUGGUGAAGUGGUUUCCCCUCCGACGCCAACCUAUAUCUAGAUCAACUCAACGAGAUCUGCAAUAUUUAUUAUAGACAUAUGCAUCGACAACCGCCCUUUUAAAGUUUUUAUAAAUAGAAAGGAAGAGGGGGUUGGAGAUCUCAAGUGUGGUGAUGUCGGAGAGACCAAUAGAUUGGGAAGAUGUUGCAUAUGAGCAUGGAGUAAACGAAGUGGCUAUGAAAUAAAUUCCAUGCUCAUUAAUGUUAUCUUCGUCUCUAAUCUGAAUGUUCGGAGUUUCUCCUGGAUUGGUCUCACCUAUGUCCUCUUCUGUAGUUGGAUGAAUCUCAUCUUCAAAGGGAGUCAAGAACUCACCAUUUGAAAUUAAGCCAAAGUCAGAACCCAUUAAGGCUUCUUCCUUAUCCAUCCAUUCUACACAUUCUAGCCAUUUACAACUUGUGAUCAAAAUAGAGGAGGUGUUAGAAUUUUCUAUAUGGCUUAGCUCUCCUUCUAUGGCAUUAUUUGACAUGCCAUCCUUAUGGUCUUCAUGACUCCUAUGGUUUGGUCGUCUUGGUAAAUUGCUAGGAUCAUCAUGAGACUAAAAAGAAGAGGGAUAAGAGGGAUCUCUAAGGUCAAGGAUGGAUUUAGAACUUGUGAACAUGGAAGGGGAGUAGAUAGAAUUGUCUAUAUGGCUUAGCUCUCCUUCACUUGAUAUGUCAUCCUCGACUUCUUCAUGAUAGGAACCAGGACAUUCUCUAAGAGAAACAUUAUUGCAAUGAUUUGAAUUAUCCCUGCUUAAAGGUCUCUUAUAGAACCAGAAGUCUAAACCAUCAGCAUCUAAAAGAUUUAAGGUCGGAAUUCCUUCCUCCCUUAGAGAAUUUUGGGGUAUUGAUGGUUUAGGAUCGAUAGCUGAAGUUUGGGACUGAAGUGGUUGUGAUCUGGCUAUAGAAACUUCUUCUUCUUGUCUAGGAACUGGUUCUUUCUCUUUCUCAGGGAUAUAAAAGCUAGGAGACUUUCCGCUCAUUAAAUCAAUCAAAUUCCAAGCUUCACUAGCGGAUAGGUGGUGGAAAGAUCCUCCAGAGGCCGCAUGAAGGGUUUGCUUAUCUUCCUUACUAAGGCCCUCAAAAAAGUGAAUUAGAAGAACUUCUUCUGGAAUAGAAAGUUUUGGGCAAGUGAGAGUAAGGUUAAUAAAGCGGUCCCAUGAUUUGCCAAGAGAUUCUUCUUCCAAUUGUCUAAAAGAAAGAUUCUCACCCCGAAGUUCCACCACUUUGGAGAUUGGAAAAUAUUUAGAAAGAAAACUACUAUAUAACUCCUUCCAAUCUCCAUAAACACUCCCUACUUUGAGUUUAUACCAAUGUCUAGCUUUUCCCGUUAAAGAGAACGGAAAGAGCUUCCAUUUAAGGGUCUCAUCGGACAUGCCUUCUAUGCGAAGGAGGUCACAGACUCGAUAAAACUCUCUUAGGUGUGUGUAUGGGUUUUCCUCACCUUCUCCUGAGAAAGGUUGUUUUUGAAUAAAUUCUAUGUAUUCGGGGUCUAUCUCAAAACUAGAUGUUAUGAUAGGCUUUGAAGAUUUUGGUGGUUCGAGAUGUGUGCCCAUAGGUCUAUGAAAUUCAUAGAUAGACAUGUUUGAAUUCAUAAUAGACCAGAGAUCAAGGAUUAGAUAAGAAGAAAGAAUAGCAGAGAUGAGGCAAAGGAUAAAAUAAAAAUAUUUUUUUUGUUAUAUAUAUUUUUUUUAUAAAAUGAUUAAACUAGUUCAUAGUCAACUCAGCUACCGUUUCCCCGGCAACGGCGCCAAAAAUGCUUGUUGACACUUGCUAACACCACUUUAAUACUAGGUUGUCAUCCCCAACGUGGCACUAGAGUGUACUAUGGUAUUUAUACGCACACAGAUAAUCCGCAAGCGCACGGAUACCGUUGAAGCUUUUACCCGGUUAAAGGUUUUAUCGUAUCCACAGGGAAACGGGAGAACUGAUCUACGCUCUAACUUAACCAAGAUAAGUAAAUAGGUGUGAAUAGGAAAGAUGGUAGAAUCGAAUAAGAACAAUAUUAAAGGUAAGAUAACAGUGAGUGAUAAUAUGGGAAUAGAGAAUAGAGCAAUUCUAGUAUAUGGGCGAUGGUAGCAGAAUAGAGAGGAUAACUAUGGUUUCUCUACUUCAAAGGGGUAUGUCUAUGUCUGGGACAAACCACGUGAUAAGAGUACACCACAAAGGAUGCUUAUCCAUAGGCUGAUAAACCCUACCCGUCCUGCUAACGAGAGGUGGACUACAGGGGACCAACGUAACUGUCACUUACGCGGCCUACCACACAAUCCAGCUAGUCAGGGGAUAUCCAUAAGUAAUCUAGGUCUAAGCACCACGCUUACACCUAUACUACAACUCUAACCAAUAGGGUCCUAUAGAUUAGAAGUACUCAAAAGAGUUGUGAACCAGAACAUACAUGAUUAGUAAUUGCAUAAUGAAUUAGAAGUAGAUUACCAGAGUCAUCCCAUGAGCAAGCUUGAUCAUGGCGAAGUACAACCGGAGGAAGAACCGACAGGCCAGCCUCUCCUCUAAUCCUCCUUUGCUCUCCAUCUUGCUACUAUCUAGAUCUACUCUAGUUUAGAGAAGAGAGGAGAGCUCUCAUCUCUAAACCCUAGCUUUUGCUCUGUCUAUGAAUAAUGAAUAAUGAUCAAGGGGUGCCUCCUCCAGGGGCCAGGGGGUCUGGUUUUAUAGUCCCCUCAAGUGAACCUGGGCCGUCGGAUAAAACCGACAUUGAUUGAACAGUUAUUCUUGAUCCUUUAGGUCGGUGGAGCAUAAUCCGCGAGAUUGAGCGUGAUUGGCCGAAAAAGGUGGGCGGGCGCCCUAAGGACUAGGGCGGGCGCCCUGUCCCUGACUCCGUUCGGUCUCCGCUUCCCUCCCGUGGCUUCUGGAGUCUUCUAGAUGUAAGAUAAUUGCGCGGCACGUUGAUAUCUCUAUGUAAUCCCGACGUGUGGGCCUUUCUUCCUUAUUUCUUGAUAACCCCC
This 7030-nucleotide long non-coding RNA is filed under the name Sorghum bicolor (sorghum). Its description in RNAcentral is "long non-coding RNA (SBIC_LNC010888)". The record is from RNAcentral. Lineage: Eukaryota; Viridiplantae; Streptophyta; Magnoliopsida; Poales; Poaceae.